AGAUUGAACGCUGGCGGAAUGCUUUACACAUGCAAGUCGAGCGGCAGCGCGGGGCAACUGGCGGCGAGCGGCGAACGGGUGAGUAACACAUCGGAACGUACCCUGUUGUGGGGGAUAGCCCGGCGAAAGCCGGAUUAAUACCGCAUAAGACCUGAGGGUGAAAGCGGGGGACCGCAAGGCCUCGCGCGACAGGAGCGGCCGAUGGCGGAUUAGCUAGUUGGUGGGGUAAAGGCUCACCAAGGCGACGAUCCGUAGCUGGUCUGAGAGGAUGAUCAGCCACACUGGAACUGAGACACGGUCCAGACUCCUACGGGAGGCAGCAGUGGGGAAUUUUGGACAAUGGGGGCAACCCUGAUCCAGCCAUUCCGCGUGAGUGAAGAAGGCCUUCGGGUUGUAAAGCUCUUUCGGCAGGAACGAAACGGUGGGCUCUAACAUAGUCUGCUAAUGACGGUACCUGAAGAAGAAGCACCGGCUAACUACGUGCCAGCAGCCGCGGUAAUACGUAGGGUGCGAGCGUUCAUCGGAAUUACUGGG
This 534-nucleotide ribosomal RNA is filed under the name uncultured Gammaproteobacteria bacterium. RNAcentral describes it as "bacterial SSU rRNA". It matches the Rfam family "Bacterial small subunit ribosomal RNA", at positions 26 to 558 of the family's 1533-position model. Lineage: Bacteria; Pseudomonadati; Pseudomonadota; Gammaproteobacteria. The record is from RNAcentral.